UACGGAGGGGUCUAGCGUUGUUCGGAAUUACUGGGCGUAAAGCGCACGUAGGCGGCUUUGUAAGUCAGGGGUGAAAUCUCGGGGCUCAACCCCGGAACUGCCUUUGAUACUGCGAAUCUCGAGUCCGGGAGAGGUGAGUGGAAUUCCUAGUGUAGAGGUGAAAUUCGUAGAUAUUAGGAAGAACACCAGUGGCGAAGGCGGCUCACUGGUCCGGUACUGACGCUGAGGCACGAAAGCGUGGGGAGCAAACAGG
RNAcentral lists this ribosomal RNA (253 nucleotides) under uncultured bacterium. RNAcentral's name for it is "partial 16S ribosomal RNA". It matches the Rfam family "Bacterial small subunit ribosomal RNA", at positions 524 to 776 of the family's 1533-position model. The record is from RNAcentral.